GGCUCAGGAUGAACGCUAGCGAUAGGCCUAACACAUGCAAGUCGAGGGGCAGCAUAGAGUAGCAAUACUUGAUGGCGACCGGCGCACGGUGAGUAACACGUAUGCAACCUACCUACAUCAGGGGAAUAACCCGGAGAAAUUCGGACUAAUACCGCAUAAUACAGGGAUGCCGCAUGGCAAUAUCUGUUAAAGAUUUAUCGGAUGUAGAUGGGCAUGCGUUCCAUUAGCUAGUUGGUGAGGUAACGGCUCACCAAGGCAACGAUGGAUAGGGGAACUGAGAGGUUUGUCCCCCACACUGGAACUGAGACACGGACCAGACUCCUACGGGAGGCAGCAGUGAGGAAUAUUGGUCAAUGGACGAGAGUCUGAACCAGCCAAAUCGCGUGAAAAGGGAAGACUGCCCUACGGGUUGUAAACUUCUUUUGUACAGGAAUAAAAGACAUUACGUGUAAUGUAUUGCAUGUACUGUACGAAUAAGCAUCGGCUAACUCCGUGCCAGCCGCCGC
Molecule: ribosomal RNA, 506 nt
Filed under: uncultured bacterium
Lineage: Bacteria
Description: bacterial SSU rRNA
Rfam family: Bacterial small subunit ribosomal RNA
Source: RNAcentral